This 440-nucleotide ribosomal RNA is filed under the name uncultured bacterium. Its description in RNAcentral is "bacterial SSU rRNA". It matches the Rfam family "Bacterial small subunit ribosomal RNA", at positions 338 to 795 of the family's 1533-position model. The record is from RNAcentral.
CCUACGGGAGGCUGCAGUCGGGAAUUUUGGGCAAUGGGCGAAAGCCUGACCCAGCAACGCCGCGUGAAGGAUGAAGUAUUUCGGUAUGUAAACUUCGAAAGAAUGGGAAGAAUAAAUGACGGUACCAUUUAUAAGCUCCGGCUAACUACGUGCCAGCAGCCGCGGUAAUACGUAGGGAGCAAGCGUUGUUCGGAUUUACUGGGCGUAAAGGGCGCGUAGGCGGCGUGUUAAGUCAGCUGUGAAAUCUCCAAGCUUAACUUGGAACGGCCAGCUGAUACUGAUGUGCUAGAGUGCAGAAGGGGCAAUCGGAAUUCUUGGUGUAGCGGUGAAAUGCGUAGAUAUCAAGAGGAACACCUGAGGUGAAGACGGGUUGCUGGGCUGACACUGACGCUGAGGCGCGAAAGCCAGGGGAGCAAACGGGAUUAGAUACCCGAGUAGUC